This 460-nucleotide ribosomal RNA is filed under the name uncultured bacterium. RNAcentral's name for it is "partial 16S ribosomal RNA". It matches the Rfam family "Bacterial small subunit ribosomal RNA", at positions 338 to 795 of the family's 1533-position model. The record is from RNAcentral.
CCUACGGGUGGCAGCAGUGAGGAAUAUUGGUCAAUGGGCGUAAGCCUGAACCAGCCAAGCCGCGUGAGGGAUGAAGGUUCUAUGGGUCGUAAACCUCUUUUAUAAGGGAAUAAAGUGCGGGACGAGUCCUAUUCUGCAUGUACCUUAUGAAUAAGGAUCGGCUAACUCCGUGCCAGCAGCCGCGGUAAUACGGAGGAUCCGAGCGUUAUCCGGAUUUAUUGGGUUUAAAGGGUGCGUAGGCGGCCUUUUAAGUCAGCGGUGAAAGUCGGUGGCUCAACCAUAGAAUAGCCGUUGAAACUGGGGGGCUUGAGUAUGUGUGAGGCAGGCGGAAUGCGUGGUGUAGCGGUGAAAUGCUUAGAUAUCGCGCAGAACCCCGAUUGCGAAGGCAGCCUGUCAAGGCAUGACUGACGCUGAUGCACGAAAGCGUGGGGAUCAAACAGGAUUAGAUACCCGUGUAGUC